Molecule: ribosomal RNA, 497 nt
Filed under: uncultured bacterium
Lineage: Bacteria
Description: partial 16S ribosomal RNA
Rfam family: Bacterial small subunit ribosomal RNA
Source: RNAcentral
GAUGAACGCUGGCGGCGUGCCUAAUACAUGCAAGUCGAACGAACAGACGAUGAGCUUGCUCCUCUCACGUUAGCGGCUGACGGGUGAGUAACACGUGUAUAACCUACUUAUAAUACUGGGAUAACUUCGGAACACCGGAUCUAAUACCGGAUAAUAUAUUGAACCGCAUUGUUCAAUAGUUAAAUUCGGUUUUGCUGUCACUUAUCGAUGGUUACGCGCCGCAUGAGCUAGUUGGUAAGGUAACGGCUUACCAAGGCGACGAUGCGUAGCCGACCUGAGAGGGUGAUCGGCCACACUGGAACUGAGACACGGUACAGAGUCCUAAGGGAGGCAGCAGUAGGGAAUGUUCGGCAAUGGGCGGAAGCCUGAAGGAGCAACGCCGCGUGAGUGAAGAAGGUCUUCGGAUCGUAAAACUCUGUUAUUGGGGAAGAACAAAUGUGUAAGUAAAUAUGCAUGUGUUGACGGUACCUAAACAGAAAGCCACGGCUAACUACGUG